GACGAACGCUGGCGGCGUGCUUAACACAUGCAAGUCGAACGGAAAGGCCUGCUUUCCCUUGUGGAUUGCGGGUACUCGAGUGGCGAACGGGUGAGUAACACGUGAGUGAUCUGCCCCCAACUUGGGUAUAAGCCAGGGUAACUGGGUCUAAUUCACGUUAGGACUGCAGGGUGGUGGCUGUGGUGGAAAACGAUUUUCUAGUGGUUGGGGAUGAGCUCGCGGCCUAUCAGCUUGUUGGUGGGGUAAUGGCCUACCAAGGCGGCGACGGGUAGCCGGCCGGGGAGGGUGGACGGCCACAUUGGGACUGAGAUACGGCCCAGACGCCUACGGGAGGCAGCAGUGGGGAAUAUUGCACAAUGGGCGGAAGCCUGAUGCAGCGACGCCGCGUGGGGGAUGACGGCCUUCGGGUGGUAAACUCCUUUCGACCGCGAGGAAGCCACCUGGUUGGAAGGGUGGUGACGGUAGUGGUAGAAGAAGCACCGGCUAACUACGUG
Molecule: ribosomal RNA, 494 nt
Filed under: uncultured bacterium
Lineage: Bacteria
Description: partial 16S ribosomal RNA
Rfam family: Bacterial small subunit ribosomal RNA
Source: RNAcentral